CUGGAGGUAUCAGAAGUGCGAAUGCUGACAUAAGUAACGAUAAAGCGGGUGAAAAGCCCGCUCGCCGGAAGACCAAGGGUUCCUGUCCAACGUUAAUCGGGGCAGGGUGAGUCGACCCCUAAGGCGAGGCCGAAAGGCGUAGUCGAUGGGAAACAGGUUAAUAUUCCUGUACUUGGUGUUACUGCGAAGGGGGGACGGAGAAGGCUAUGUUGGCCGGGCGACGGUUGUCCCGGUUUAAGCGUGUAGGCUGGUUUUCCAGGCAAAUCCGGAAAAUCAAGGCUGAGGCGUGAUGACGAGGCACUACGGUGCUGAAGCAACAAAUGCCCUGCUUCCAGGAAAAGCCUCUAAGCAUCAGGUAACAUCAAAUCGUACCCCAAACCGACACAGGUGGUCAGGUAGAGAAUACCAAGGCGCUUGAGAGAACUCGGGUGAAGGAACUAGGCAAAAUGGUGCCGUAACUUCGGGAGAAGGCACGCUGAUAUGUAGGUGAAGCGACUUGCUCGUGGAGCUGAAAUCAGUCGAAGAUACCAGCUGGCUGCAACUGUUUAUUAAAAACACAGCACUGUGCAAACACGAAAGUGGACGUAUACGGUGUGACGCCUGCCCGGUGCCGGAAGGUUAAUUGAUGGGGUCAGCGCAAGCGAAGCUCUUGAUCGAAGCCCCGGUA
RNAcentral lists this ribosomal RNA (667 nucleotides) under Escherichia coli. Its description in RNAcentral is "partial 23S ribosomal RNA". It matches the Rfam family "Bacterial large subunit ribosomal RNA", at positions 1273 to 1925 of the family's 2925-position model. The record is from RNAcentral. Lineage: Bacteria; Pseudomonadati; Pseudomonadota; Gammaproteobacteria; Enterobacterales; Enterobacteriaceae.